Molecule: long non-coding RNA, 1576 nt
Organism: Octopus bimaculoides (California two-spot octopus)
Lineage: Eukaryota; Metazoa; Mollusca; Cephalopoda; Octopoda; Octopodidae
Source: RefSeq, a predicted model, not a curated record
AUGUAUGUGUGUGUGUAUAUAUGUAUAAAUAUGUUAAACGUUCAUAUAUACAUGUGUGUGUGCAUAGUGAGAGAGAGACAAAGUGUUGCGUGCGUGCGCAUGUGUGUCUGUCUGUGUGUUGAUCAAUGAUGUUCCACGAGGAAGCCUUUCUGUCAGUGACGUGACAUUUUGCUAUCAGAAAGCACCACAUGCCGUGUAGAUCUGACAACAACUCCAUUUGACGCCAAGCCAUCUUCAUUUACAUGCAGUCGUCAUAGCAACAUGUAUUCAUUUGUUUAUAUUCUGACUUGGAGCGAAAAGAUCGUGGAAUUUAGCGAUAAAUAUUAUGUAUAUAUAUAUAUAUAUAUAUAUAUAUAUAUACACAUCUGUUUGAGUGUACACAUACUACAUUAGCUUUUCACUUGUUUCAGUCAGGCAUCGUUUUGAGGAAUUUUCAGUCGAAUGAAUCAACCCCUGGUCUUAUUUAAAAAGAUAGUUUUGUUAAGCCUAUUGUUAAGCCUAUCGUCUCUUUCGCCGAACAGCUAAACUACGUCAUAGGAAUUCGACCAUGCUGGGGCACAGCCUUCACGGGUUUAGUGGAAUAUAUCGACACCAAUGCUUAUUUUUAGUGUGCUACUUAUUCAUCAGACACUUUGGCAAAUGUUUGCAACGUAAACAACUCAAUACCCAUUGUCAAACGAGGAUGAGGACAAACAAUGACACACACACACAAUAUAUAAUACCUCCAAGACCACCACCACCACCAUCACCAAACGUAGACGAUUGAUUGUGUAAACAAUAUUCAUAAUAUAGCACAAUCUUUAAACAAACACAAAGACAAAUCAUAUAUAAAAAUGAGCGCCUGGCGGAUGAUGGAUAAAUCUAACCACACGAAUUCAAACUUUGCUGGUAUUGUUUACAGCUAUCAUAUUGGCCUUGUCUACAAUGGAAUUAACAGCAGCCACGCCAUCAGCACGCCACCUAGAAGAUGAGACUCCGAAAGUCUAAAAACAUUAAUGGUGGGGUUUGCAAUAAUCGUAUAUAUGAAAACGAAAAUAAAAAUUGAUAAAAUAUAUAAAUAAAACUUGAAGAGAGGCGUGAUUGCAAUGCAUGAGACUGUCUGUAUUUCGUUUGUGAUACGUGGUCUUUUUAUCUGUCUUUGGCUGUCUGUCUCUCUGUCUCUUUUUUGCUCGCUCUCUCCUUCAGUGUGUGUGUGUGUGUGUGUGUGUGCGCGCGCGAACAUGUCCCGAGCAAUAAAUUCGAUAUCAUAUAGAAAUAUUAUAAACCCAGUUCACUCGCAUGCUUUCCAAUCUCCCUCUCUCUCUCUCUCUCUCUCGCGCGCGCGCGCGCAUGUGCGUGCGUGUAAGUAUGUGUGUCUUCUGAACGUAGUGUUUGUGCAGGUAUGUCAGCAUGUCUUUGCUUACAUGUGCUAGAGUAUGUCUAGUAUACGCGCGUGCGAGAGACAAACAGAGAGAGAGUGUGUGUGGGACGCAGUGAGUGUGCGUGUACGAAUUUGUGAUUGUGUGUAUGUAUAUCCUAUGCUACUGAGAGGGGGGGUGUGUUUGAUGUACGUGAAGGGCGUGCGUAUGGCGUUCUA